UGGGGAAUAUUGGACAAUGGGCGCAAGCCUGAUCCAGCCAUGCCGCGUGAGUGAUGAAGGCCCUAGGGUUGUAAAGCUCUUUCGCCGGUGAAGAUAAUGACGGUAACCGGAGAAGAAGCCCCGGCUAACUUCGUGCCAGCAGCCGCGGUAAUACGAAGGGGGCUAGCGUUGUUCGGAUUUACUGGGCGUAAAGCGCACGUAGGCGGACUAUUAAGUCAGGGGUGAAAUCCCGGGGCUCAACCCCGGAACUGCCUUUGAUACUGGUAGUCUUGAGUUCGAGAGAGGUGAGUGGAAUUCCGAGUGUAGAGGUGAAAUUCGUAGAUAUUCGGAGGAACACCAGUGGCGAAGGCGGCUCACUGGCUCGAUACUGACGCUGAGGUGCGAAAGCGUGGGGAGCAAACAGG
This 404-nucleotide ribosomal RNA is filed under the name Actinomycetes bacterium. RNAcentral's name for it is "Actinobacteria bacterium partial 16S ribosomal RNA". It matches the Rfam family "Bacterial small subunit ribosomal RNA", at positions 355 to 776 of the family's 1533-position model. Lineage: Bacteria; Bacillati; Actinomycetota; Actinomycetes. The record is from RNAcentral. RNAcentral also lists the same sequence under 1 other name.